UUAAAGGUGGAAAGUUCCAUUAAUACAUAAGAUUGUCAACUUGUUGAUUUCAUAACAUCUUACAAUAUAUUUGCAAGUUAACAAUGAACAUUCUUUCUUGAUCAAUCAAUGAAAGCUGAAGACUGAAAAAAUGAGAUCAUUGACUACAAAACUCAAGGACAUUGUACAACACUGAAAAAAUGAGAUCGCUUUGACGACUGCGUGCACCUUCUCAUCUUUCAAGUACAAGUUCAAACUUGCAUUGUAGUACAAACAUUGGUUCAAAAUGGAUGAUAAUCCCACAAUUGUUUUUUAUCUCUGUUUUCGACUAUUAAGAAGAACCUGCAGAUUACAAGUGAGUUAAUCUAGAUAGAAUACAGCAAAUAAACUACGGAUCAAUGCAUUAGAAGAAAAUAUGGAGAUCACGCAUGGCAAUUUCAUCUGGCUAUAUGUGUAACAUACGCCUGUCUACAAACAAGACAUGAAUAAAAAUAAAAAUAAGACUUAAGAGAAUGGAGGUUGCUCGGUUUAUGUACUCGACAUCAUGGAUUCCGGUUUUAUUAUCGAGCCACUGAGCCGCAAAAAUAAAUAGAGUUCAGUGCAAAAAUUUGCAGUUCCAAAUUGGUGAGUUUAUGAUCUCCAAAAAUAAAUCAUUUAAAGUUUCUUCCGAUAUAAUGGCCCAGAAGUUUAGCACAUAAUCCACAAUGUGUUGUUUGCUCCAACAUAGAAGUAAAUAUCAUCAAUGUGUCAUGCCGCUUGGUGAUAAGUUUCAUAUGAGAUGCUCCUUUUGUGUUGUUAGCUCCAACAUAGGAGUAAAUAUCAUCAAUGUGUCAUGCCACUUAGUGAUAAAUUUCAUAUGAGAUGCUCCUUUUAGCUUUCUCCGCAAUAGGUUAUUGUUCAAAACAUCAAUAUCUACGAUAUUUAUUGAAGUGUUGUAGUAUAUUACCAUUAAUUUCUGUAAUUUCUUAAAUCAAAUGAAAUUAAAGUAACUUAUACGCAAGUACCAAACUAAUCUUCCGGCUCACUCCGCACCUCGCGAGGUGAUUAACAUAAGCAAAAUAUGAGCAGAACAUGGGGAAAGGGGAUUUUCUCUUGCAUGUUGAACACCAGAGAAAGAUAAGAAAUUAUGGGGUGCCCAUGUACAUGAAAAAGAACAUAAACAACAAUCACAUGCUACCAUUACAAAGCAAUGGAGACCCAAACAUAUGAUACAUAUCACCCAUCUUUCAUUACACUACAGGAGAAGAUGAUUAGAAGUCAACACCCAAGAAAAACAUGAAGCAUCUUAUUUAGAUUUUGUACUAAUGUACCAUGCAACUGUGGAGUAAUUAGUAGGAGUAAAAGUCAAGGUUACCUAUUCGACGUGUUUAUUAGAGAGAAGUUCAUUGACCAUAUGUGUUCUUAUACAUAAUGUAAUAGCCUUUUCUGUCAUUGCAAACACUUUGAGGACCAAAAGUGUAAAGAUUAAACAACGAUCAGACGGUGAUACAACAUCAAAGAUCAAACCGGUAAUUCAUCCUCUAAACAUCAAAAAAUGAAGGGCGUUUUUUACAAAUUCCAAUAUCGGUUUUCUAAUUAACCUGUUCCAUAUAGCAGAAUGGUAAUAAUGAACAUCACAGGAACAUAUAAUCUAAGCAACCUUGCAGCGUAAAAACAUCGAUGUUAAAAUGUGUAAGGAUGAGGCGUGGAGUAAUUACCUAUCCAAAAGCCAUUUAUUAUGAACUGCCGAACAAAAAAAAAUCCGAAUACCAAGCUCCAAGAUUCACCCAAAUAAAUCGAUUACAGGCAGCCUAAACAUCACCUAUAACUAUAAUUAGAAUUGUUGGUAUGAGAGGAUGCCAGAAUAAUGUAAUUGCUUGGAAAUGAAUCUUACAUGAACUGAAAAAAGGAAACCUACCCGAGCAUCAUGCUCAAAUAUGUUAUGCUACCGAGAGUGGAGAGGGUGAGCGAAGAGUGAUAGGGGAGGAAGCAUAUAUAGACGUACCUCUGUACCCCUCGGCAGCGUGAAGGAUCGGCACAUCAGCAACCAUGAAUGUGCGCUCUGAAACUGAAGUACUAUUGCGUCUAUCAAGUCUCGCGGAACAGUUUUGAUCAGCUAAGAUGUCACUCACGUCCCUUCCCUUUCUCCCAAGAAGCCCAAUUGACGGCGUCGACUGGAUCAAGCGCCCACCAAGCCGUCCGCAAUGUGUGCGUCAGCUGGAUCGAGCGCCCACUGAGCUGCCUGCAACGCGUGCAUCGGCUGGAUACCCUCUCCCACGACAGCUCGAUCCCCUCGCAGACGAUCGACCGCAUUGGCCGUAGUGUGCGCGCGUCGGCUGGAUCGAUGGACCGCGUUGCAUCAUGCACGCCUCGAUCCGUCUAUCACCGAUGACCGAUCCCCUCCUCUGUAUCGACCGCCGCGUGGAGCCCUAUUUUUUUGCGGAGACGGGGACGGGAGCAUAGCACAGAUCCAGCUAAGACUCGGUUUUUUC
RNAcentral lists this long non-coding RNA (2450 nucleotides) under Hordeum vulgare. RNAcentral describes it as "long non-coding RNA (HVUL_LNC007535)". The record is from RNAcentral. Lineage: Eukaryota; Viridiplantae; Streptophyta; Magnoliopsida; Poales; Poaceae.